This 505-nucleotide ribosomal RNA is filed under the name uncultured bacterium. RNAcentral's name for it is "bacterial SSU rRNA". It matches the Rfam family "Bacterial small subunit ribosomal RNA", at positions 37 to 507 of the family's 1533-position model. The record is from RNAcentral.
AAACAACGCGUGGCGGCGUAGCCUAACACAUGCAAGUCGUACGAGAAAGUCGGCUUCGGCCGAUGAGUACAGUGGCGCACGGGUGAGUAGCGCGUGGGUAAUCUGCCCCCGGUCAGGAAUAACCCGCCGAAAGGCGGGCUAAUACCCGAUAACACUGAACGCUCCGCGGAGCGUCUUUCAAAGGAGGCCUCUGUUUACAAGCUUUCGCCGGAGGAUGAGCCCGCGUACCAUUAGCUAGUUGGCAGGGUAAUGGCCUACCAAGGCUGCGAUGGUUAGCUGGUCUGAGAGGAUGGCCAGCCACACUGGAACUGAGACACGGUCCAGACUCCUACGGGAGGCAGCAGUGAGGAAUCUUGCGCAAUGGGGGAAACCCUGACGCAGCAACGCCGCGUGAGUGAGGAAGGCCUUCGGGUCGUAAAGCUCUGUCAGAUGGGAAGAAAUGGGUGGGGGCUAAUAUCGCCCAUCCUUGACGGUACCAUCAGAGGAAGCACCGGCUAACUCCGUG